UCCUGCUCUUAUAGUUUCUUCCCUGAUUCUGAUGGAAGUUUGGCUCCAUGGACCAAGUCUGCAUGUCAGGGUGUUGGAGACAAGAGUGGAUGUUUCUGAACUAAUGGUACAGGGAAGAGGAUUGUCAUUGAGGAAGCUGGUGGGGAGCGUGCUGUUAGAGACACUCAAUAGGACAAAUAGCUCAUGGGGGUAAGUACACAGAAAUCAAAUUGAGUAACAUU
RNAcentral lists this long non-coding RNA (221 nucleotides) under Homo sapiens (human). Its description in RNAcentral is "HSALNT0251243". Lineage: Eukaryota; Metazoa; Chordata; Mammalia; Primates; Hominidae. The record is from RNAcentral.